AAAAAGACAAACCCUGAUUUCCGUAUCCAAUAUUUGACCGUCCGUCUUAUUUGAAAAAAUUAUGAAAAAAUUAAAAAGACAAGUCACGCAUAAAAUAUUAAUUAUGUUUUAUCAUCUAACAACAAUGAAAAUACGAAUUAUAAAAAAAAUUUAUAUAAAACGGACAGUUAAAAUUGAACACGGAAAUUCAGGGUUUGACUUUUU
This 204-nucleotide microRNA precursor is filed under the name Oryza rufipogon (brownbeard rice). RNAcentral describes it as "MIR812 microRNA precursor family". It matches the Rfam family "MIR812 microRNA precursor family". The record is from Rfam by way of RNAcentral. Lineage: Eukaryota; Viridiplantae; Streptophyta; Magnoliopsida; Poales; Poaceae.